This 24312-nucleotide long non-coding RNA is filed under the name Cicer arietinum (chickpea). RNAcentral's name for it is "long non-coding RNA (CARI_LNC001862)". The record is from RNAcentral. Lineage: Eukaryota; Viridiplantae; Streptophyta; Magnoliopsida; Fabales; Fabaceae.
GAACUCACGGUCUGAGCCGUUGUUACCGGAGGACCGUUCUCUUCGAAAUUAGACGGGCGCGGCGUCGGUCCACGUGAAUUGGACUGAAUGGAAUACAAAUCUGCCGCGCCGAAAUUGGAAUGUCUCGGCGCGUAACCCAUCAUGGAGUAGAAAUCAGCGUGGUUGAAAUUAGAACCUCGCGGAGUUGGGUUCCGGGAAGAGCUUAAACUGUAAAUUUCAGCUCCGGUGAGAUUCGACGGGCGAGGAGUCAUCAUGAAAGAUCUCCUGGAAGCAUUCGAUUUUCUCACGGUGACAUGAAGCUUCCCGUCGUCGCCAACCUCCGCAUCAGUUUCAAGAAAAUCCCUUCCGUCAAGAGAAACCACAUCGGAAUCAACCUUGAAUGAAACAAUAGAGGCAGCGGUUUCAGGGAACUGUUCCAUGAUGAGAAGCUUAGCACCACGGUACUCAAAUAGAAACAAAAGCAGAGUGUACCAAACGAUACACUGAAGAACCACAACUUGAAUCAUAAGCGUGCCGGAAUAUUCGCCAUACAUGGCUAUGAGAAGUGGAAUUCCCAUAACCAAGGUGUUAGGCAAUGUAGAAAGUGAGAAGAUUGUGAUCAUCCACUCUAAACUUCCAUUGGCGGUGAAAUUAGUCCAAAUUGAAAGUGCGAAGAGCAUGAUGAUUUUUUGAAGCGUAUCUGCAGCGAUGAACCUGAAGUCCAUAGCGUAAGGGUUGUUUAUGGAGAUGAAGUGGAAAGAUAGAAGUGGAACUGCGAAGAUUGCUACGAAGCGGUUUAUGCCUGAACAUUGGUCCGGUGAGAAUAUUUUCCACCACCGUACCGAACUGUAGGCUAAAAUCAUUGCAACGUACAGUGGAACAACUGCCGCUAACACGGUGUAUAGAUCGCCCCAGCUUAUCAUUUUGGUGAAGCUCUUCUUCGGUAAUGGCGGUGGAGUGGUGUGAGAUAGAAGGCUAAAGUGGGAAUAAAUAAAAACCGUUAGUUAACUUAACUAACUAGUAACUCAUUUGGGAGGGUGUAUAUAUAUUCGUUACUGUUAAGGUUUUAUAGCCUGCACUGCACUCUGCACUCUGCACUCUGCAGCAGCUCUGCUAUGUUUCAGAUUUUGCUGCUGAUAUGAGAAAGUGUGUCUUUGUGUGUGUGGGAGAGAAGGGGGUGCGAAUUUACAAAGCAAAAAAUAGAGGUAACUUCUAAGGAAUAGGGAAAAGCCGAAAAGAUUGUUAUACAUAGGAGAAGAGGUGGGUAGCUUAAAUAACAAAAAAAAAUUAUUAAAACGUUUUUAAAAUUACGUAUUCAAAAUUUUAAAAGUUCAAUUUUUAACUUUUUAAUAACUGUUUUUAACCAUCUACUUUAACACUUAUUAGUUUAUUAGUAUGAUACUUUUAUAUUUAUAUAUAUAAAUUCAAAAAAUUCUGAAAAAUGUUUAAAUAAGACUCAUAAAAUUUAUUAUCAAUUUCAAAAUAAUUCAUAACUUAAAUAUUCAAAUAAACUCAUAUUGUUAACUCUAAAAAUAUUAAAUUAAUUGAAUAAAUAAUAAAAACAUGAGUUUAUUUGAAUAUUUAAGUUAUGAAUUUGAUUAAAUUUGCAUUAUGUUGAAGAUGAUAAUUAAUUUUAUAGAUUUUGUUGGAAAUUUUGAUAAAUUUUCUGAGUUUCUAUAAAAUAAAAUAAAAAAUAUUGUUUACAUUUUAAGACAUCAAAUUGUUACUUAAAAUUAAGUAAAAGACCAAAUUAGAAAAAUAAAGAUAAAAAAUUAAAUUAUUAUCUAAAAUUAAGAUACUGUAAAAUGUAUUAUAUUUAUAAUUUUAUAAUAAUAUUUAUGAAGUGCACAUAGAACACUUAUUAAAAAAAAUGAAAGACUUAUAUUAAAAAUAAUUUUUUUUACAAUUUUAAAAACUAAAAACCACAAAUUCUAAUAUAUUUCUAUUUGCAUAGUUCUAUUUUUCUUUCUUUAAUAAGUAUAAUUGGGGUACUUGUUUUCGUAUAUGAUAUAAAUUUAUAUUCUCACGGCAUGAAAAGAACUAUGAUUAUAUGAUCAUGUUAUGUUAUGUAAAUAAGAGGAUGGUUUUUUUUCUCCUUCUUAAAUGCUUUUCUUUUAUUUGGAGUGUAGUCUUGAAUAUGGGAUGGGAGUGAGGUGUUUCAUGGAAAUUGGGGACCCGACGGGGAAACAGUGCCACGUUAGGUUAGGAAGUGACUUUUUAAUAUGGUUAAGGUUACCCAACAUAGGUUAGGUAUAUGGAAAAAGAAAAUAAUUGUAAAUACUCGUACACUUUGUAUACAUCUUAGAAAUAUAAAGAAUAAUGUGACAGGAAGUAUGAUGUACUUACUAAAUGAGUAUAAAAAAUUAUAAAUAUCAUUAUUGAUUUGAAAAUUACAAUUGAACAAAGCUAAAGAAACAAAUAUGACAUCCCUUUAAAGCGGAUAGAAAUAUUUAUUUUAGUACAAUCCCAAACCAAAUAUAUUUGAGCACCCGCGCAAAUAAAUAGAAGAAAAAAUUGAAUUAUGUGAUAUGAUUAAAUUAUUAUUUUUUAAAUUUUUUUUCAUUUGUGUACAUUUUUUAUUUAGGAUUGUACUCAUGUGUGUACUGAUUAUUGUUACAAAUUGUAAUUUGAAAGUGUUGAAUUUUUAUUUAUUUAUACAUUAAAUUUUGGUUGAAUGACAUUUUUACGAGUCUUGAAAUAUCUAUCUUGUUAUUAAUGAAUAUUGAGUAUCACAUUGUGAAUAAUAUAGUUAAAAGGAAUAUGUUAUGAUAAGAACUCACAUAUAUCUUAUAGUGAUGGCAGAACUUCUCAUUUGAGAGUAAGUUCUAUUUUCAGGCGUAAAUCUUGGAGAUUUUACCUAGUUGUGGAGGAGGCAUAUGACUUGACUUUUGUUGAAUAUCAAAAGGAUAGGUAGCCGAGGAGAUGCACACCAAAGUUUGGCUUUCUUGUUUUGUGGUUGUGAUGGUGAUACAUUGAAUAAAAACAAGAUACUCCUUUUGUUUUUUAUAUUUGGUGUUUUUAGAUUUGUACACACAUAUUAAAAAUUAAUCAAUUUUAAAAUAUGUAUAGAUCACUUCAUUAUUUGAAAAAAAUUAAAUAGGUGCUUAUACUAUAACAAAUACAAAUUAGGUUUCAAAAUUAAUUCAAUUUUUGUAAUUAAGUCAUUCCAUUAAGGUUAUAACUUUUUAUAAGUUAAUAACUUAUUUAAAGAUGUACUUCGUUCAAAGCAAUACAGAUCGGACCUUGCAAAAAGUAUUGUAGUAACUAAGUUGUAGUUUCGUAGAAGAAAACUUACUCGUUCACCAUCCUUGAAGCUCUUUUUAUGUCUCAAUUAUUAUUAUUUAUUGUCUUCGACUAAUUAUAUAUACCAAUAGGUGCUAUUGAUAAAUGAAAGGAGGGAGUACAUUUUUGUUUGCCAUUUUCUUAAGACGAAGUGAUAAAUAAUAUAUGAAAUUUAGACACAUAAAUGCAAGAUUUAUCGAGUUUGAACUCAAUACGUGAUGGUUAAUCUAAAAAUAUCGAUAUUUAUCAAUUGAAUUAGAUUUUAUACAGUCUUUUGUCAUUUUAUAAAAUAAUUUUCUUUAUCAUUCUCCUUAAAAGUCUAUAUAUAUAUAAUUUUUUUAGGUUUAAUUGCAGUUUUAAUCCCUCUAUUUUUACUGAUUCAAAAAUUUGAUCACUCAAUUUUAAAAGUCGACACUUUUAAUACAUUUCUCUAAUUUUUUAACUAAAAAAUGAUGACGCGAAAUAUUUUAAAUAACGUAACAUACAAUAGGAUCAUUUAAAAUAAUUAAUACCUAUGAAAUUGGAAUAAAACGUUGUAUAAAUUUAGAUUUCAACUUCAAAAAAAUUUUAUAUUUUUAAUUUAAUUAAUGACAUAUGAAAUUAAUGCAUCUAGAUGGUUCUAUAUUAUAGAAUUUUAUGUCACAUAAUUAAAAAUAUGUCAAAUCAUCGUUUUAUAGUUUAAAAAUAUGAAGGAGUGACCGAACCUGUUGAUUUUUUAAAUAGAGGGACAAAUUUCGUGAAUAAGUAAUAAUAGAGGAACCAAAAAUAUAAUUAAAUCAUUUUUUUUAUAACAAAAAAAAAGACACAAUCUGUUGAUUUAUAAAUCAUGUAUAUCUAAUAUCUUCUUUUAUUUCAAACACAUUGUCUAUUUUGAUUAUGUAAUUAUAAAUUUUAAUUUUUUAUUAAAAAACUCGGGGUAUUUACUAAUAUAUUGCUCGUAUUUUUAACAUUUUGACCAUUUACUAGAUUAAGAUAUUUUUCAGUACAAAAUUAAGAUUAAAAUUUAAAUUUCUGUAGUACAAAACUGUGAUUAAGAUAAAUAUUUUUUUAUGAGAACUUCUACUUUAUAUAAGUUAAUUCAAUAUAUACUGAUGUAUUUGGUUUUAAAAUUAAGAGAAAAUACAUAGUGUAUUGUGAAUGUGAAUAAAUUUAACACUAACGGUGAAUAUGAACUUUUCAUUGUAUUAUCUCACUAAAACUGUAUAACAAUCAACGAUGUAUGAUUGGUUUUAUUAUACUGACAAUGCACGAUCGUUGAAUCCUAAAAUUAAUAGUCAAAUGAGUUUUUUUUUAAUAAAUAUUUUCUAUCAUUUAUAUAAUUAUUGUAACUAAUAUUAUUUACCACAAGUGUCAACAAAAUAAAAUUUAAUUUUUUUUCUCUAAAUUUUUAUUACUCAUAAUAGUAAAUAUUGAAUGUUUUUUAAAAUAAAAUAUUAAAUUUUAUAAUAAUGUUUAUAAACACAUAAAUUAUUAUAUGUUAAAAAAAAAUGUUAACAACACACCUUCUGAUACAUAUUUUUAAAGACACUCAUUUUUAUUAGUUAAAUUUUAGACAAUUUUUAUGGGACUCUUCAAGAAUAAGAGAGUAUUGAUACUCCUAAUUAUUUAACUAAUAAAUGUGUUACUUUUCUCCACAUUAGCAUCUAUGUAUUGUAUAUUAAGUUGAUCAAAUUAUUUGUAUUGAUAUAUUUAUUUUUUUAAUUUAAUCAUUUUAAAUUUAAUAAAUUAUUUUUUAAAAUUUUUUAUUUUAACUAAAAUUAAAAUCAUGAUCAAUUCAAAAGUUCAGAAUUUCUUCCUUUCGUCUCACUAAACCGCUUCAUCACCAAAGACAAUCGCUCUCCUCCGUCGCCCUUAUUAUCGUGAGAGAAGAACUUUUCACCGUUCUUCCACUACCGCAAAAAGAUCUCUCAUUUGUCUCACUUCCAAUUUGUUCAUGUUUGCAUUAUUGUUGUCUUGGUGUCGUCGACCACAUACGGUCAUUGUCGUGCCGUUAUUUCAAGGUUCAUCUUUGAUUCUUAAUGAAUUAACGACGGAAAUAGACGAUGCAUAAAUGAAGAGAGAUGAUCAAGAAUGGUUGAAAGAGUGGGCGCAGGGAAGAAACUUAAUUUUUUUUUUUAUAUAAUUUAAUAAAUAAACAUUAUUUAUUUUAAAAUUAAAAUUAAAAAUUAAAAAUUAAAAAAAUUAGUAACCUUGAAAUUAUAACAUUAUAGUCUUGAAUGUUACACGUGCCUGCACCUGAAUUAUCAGCAUGAUAUAUGAUUUCAAAAGGCAUAAUCUUGUCGCACAAAAUUAAAAUUUGAGAUUUGCGCCAUGGAAUUUCAUACAUAUAAUACAAUGUUGAUGAAAAUAAAAAUAUUGAGCUAGAGUCCUUUUUUACUACAACAUACUUAAGAGUUAAGCUAGAAACUUUGUGUAGAACGCUGGUAUAAGAGAACAUGUCAGCAAGCCACUAGAUAUCAACUGCUAGUAUAUACUAUGAGAAUUUGCAUAUUAUCCAACCCAAUGCAUAAAAAGAUCAAUAAGACAAUAAUUAAAGACAGAUCUUGAAAUUCUUUGUAGUGAAAGUAAGAUUUUUGUCAACAAGUAGUAGAUAAAAUUAUUUUACCUACAUGGACUAUAUAUUUAUGAGUACCAACUAAUUAUAAUUUAAUUACAUUAAACAUAAAAAAUAAUUUGGUGAAGAGAAAUUUAUAUCACUAUAACAUAAGAAAUCAAAGAAAGAAGGUUAUAAUAUCACUAAAUACUCAUAGGAUUUGAUCUAUCAAUAAAAGUUAUCAUAAUAUAGUUAAUGUUCUCUUUUGAGAUGAGAACUAUGUUCAAUUAAACAAAUUUUUAUUUUCGUGGUAAUUAUAUGUAUCGAACCUUUUAAGAUUUAUGAUACAUUAUCAGCUCCUCGAAAAAUCAAAUGUACUCUAUAAUAAUUUAAAUCUCAAUCUCAAAUUUUAUUGUUUGAAUAAUUUACUCGUACUUAUGAUUAUACAAAUAAAAGAUUUAACAAAUUUAUAUAACAUGAGUGUUCAAUAGUAAUCAAAUCAAAAUAAUCUAAUAAAUUAACAAAAGGAAAAGAACAACCAAUCAAUAAUCAUCGAUGUAUGAAGAGCUUUUCCAAAUCCUAUGUUGAUAGUGUCUCACACACAAUGGCAGUUAUAUGUUGAUAUUUAAUAAUUUUUGUAGAAUAUAAUUUAAUUAAUCAAAUUGUUGAGUCGAAUUUUUUUAUUGAAUAUACUAAAUAUUCCUAUCCUAACUUCUAAUAUAUAUAAUUCUAUAAAUCUAAUUCAGUCUUAAUUAUGACAUUUUAAAUAAAUUAAACAAUAUGUGAACAAUUGUAGAAAUUAUUUGAAAUUUUAGUAUACAUAAUCAUCAUUACGAUAUCAUAUAUGAUUCAAUUAGUUGAUUGAUUCAGUUUUGUUCUAUAAAAAUAUGAUAGUUGAUUUUUUCAAUACAAAAUGGGAGUGGGUACCGGAAACAAACGAAAGAAAAAUAUUAUUUUGGUGCGAUAUAUUUUAUAAAAGAAGUACACGAAUUUUAUAAAGUGUGAAAGCACAUUAACUUUGAAUUUGACAGAAAACUAAAAAGUUGCGGUUGAAAACUGAUAGGUAGGAUUAAUUCAUAUUCAUAUUUUUUCAUUUAUCAUAUUUUCGUAAACACGUGCAUUUUCUUAAACAAAAUAUGCUUUAAACAAACCAACUAAAAGAACAAUACAAAAAUAAGUAUGUUUUUUUUUUAAUUUGGGGUCGGAAGAACUGUAUCAAUUCAGAAAGACUAUGGGUUAAAAUUAUUUACUACAAUGAACAACUCACUUUAAGUAAUAAAUUGAAAAAUAUCAACAAUUGAUAAAUAAAUUAAUAAUUGAUAUUAAAUAUAUGAUUAAUUAUAAAAUAUUACAAUAUCAAUAAUUGAUUUAAAUUUUCAGUUUAGAUGAAUAAUAUCCAAAACGUUAGGGUUGUAUAGAUGAAUGGUGACUAUUAGUCCCAUCGAAUGAGUCACACAACUAGUUAGGCCAGUAAGGAAGUCAAAGAAAAGUGUUGAGACACAUGUGAAAGCAAAAAAGAAAAGGGGUAAAGGGCUCCAAACCUCUAGGUUUGAGUGAUUCAAAGUGACUCUCCUUUUCUUUAAGUAAACAAGUGCUGCAUAGCAUUAGUAAGCACAUUUGUAGCAUGUGCAAAACUCAAAAAGAGGGCUUAUGGCUCUAGGCCCAUUGGACCCUCCCCAAAACGCCCCACCACGUAGCUGGUUCCACCCAUUGUUCCCAUCUUUCUUCCCUUCACAACUCUUUUGCUGGCUCAAUGUAUAAAUAAAGGUGUAUAGUGUAGUCCAUAAGUCUAGUUUCUUCUUGAAAUAGAAAUUUAUAACAACUAGUAUUUUUUGUACUAUAUUAUUUGCCAACCUUUGUUUUCCAAUGGCAUCACAUAUUAUUACCAUUGAGUAGUAUAAGGAACCCCACUCACUCCUUUCCCAAUAAAAUCCAAGCCCCCUUUUCUUCCUUUUCUUUUUUUGGUUCCUCUUUUUGAGAAAGAUAAGGUGCUCAAUUCAGAGACCCACUUCAUGAUUUAGUUGUAAAAGGGCUUGCAAUUUGCAAAGGUUAAUUAUUUAAGAAUCUAGUACAAUAAAGCAUGGGAAGUGAUAGUGGUGUGUGAAGGUGGGACAAUAAUGUUGGGAAGUCGGUCUCGUUGAGUUUUUUUAUCAUCAUGCCUCUAACAACAAUUUUGCAAAUUUGUGUGAAAAUAAUGGAAGUCAUAACACAAUUGAGAGUGAGAAAAGAUUGAAGAGUGUGUCCUAUUCGUGGGUAUGGAAAAGUGUUUUUAAAUAGAUUGAGUACUUUGGUCAUAUAUUGUUGUUAAUUGGGUUUCUUUUGUGUUUUGAAGUUCCUUAUAACUCAAAUGAUAUGGGUAUUAAGUUAUAAUAACUUAUUUCAUACUUUCACAAAAUUGCUUGCAAAAGCUUUCGUAAUUUUACAAACCCUUGAUAAAAAUUUCUGACUAGAAAAUGUAGUUUAGGCAUGAUUGUAAUAAUUUACCCAAAAAGAACUACAAAUCUACAAUUGAUAAUAUGUUUGAUCUUUUUAAGUAUUGAUUUCAUAUAGCAUUAUAACAGCUAUCAUAAUUUUCACGCUUUGGGAUGCAAUAGUGCGAUUAGACAAAUUAUUAUUGAAAUAACAGAUAGUAUAUAAGCAAAUGUGGCGAAAGUUUGAAGAGCGUUUGGUAGGUGAAAACGUUUUCUUAUUUAUACUUUUUUUUAUUUUUAUUUUAUUUUUACUUUUUAUUUUAUUUUUUAAAAUUUGUGUUUGUUUUAUUUUGACGAGAUUCUUGAAAAAUAUUAUGAUUAUAAAAAGAAGAUCAAAUGUUAAUUAAUGGAUAUGUAUUUAUUAUUAUAAAAAGAAGAUCAAAUAUUAAUUAAUUGAUAUAUUUUUAAAAUAAAAAAAUUAUAUAUUAUUGUUUCUUAAAAUGCAAAUAAUUAUCCACUUUAAAGAUAUAUUACAUUUUUACUGAUAAAGAUGAAAUAAAUAAAAAAUAUUUUUACAAAUUGUUCAAACCACAAAGUAGAACUAGGGGUGGGAAUAGGCUAGGGCUCCGUCAGGAGUCUAUGGUUUGUUUAAUAAAAAUGUUAAGCUCAUACUUUAUUUAAAAUCUAUUAAUUUAAAUAGAUCAGACUCAACUUAUAAAAAUGUCUAUUAGACCUGAUAAGUCGGCAUAUAUAUAUAUUAAUAUUUAUUAUUUUAAAUUUGCUAAUUAUUGAUUCAUUUUGUUUCUUUAUUUUUUUUAGAAUGUUGUUGCAUACUUGCUAGUUAUAAUUUUAUUAGAUUUGGUUAUAUAUUAAGGCCUAGUUUAGCCUAUUUAAAAAAUAUAAGAUAUACUAUUUAAAAGUUUUAAUGUGAAAUAGACUUUGAAUAGGCUUUCAGGUCAGGAUGAAAAAAAUGUCUAUAAUAGGUCGUAGACCAAACUCAAACCGAAAAAAAUUAAUUGUAGAUUACACUCAAACUUUUCAAAGUCUGAAUUAACUUAUUCUCACUCCUAAGUAGAACACACAAACAAAUUCUUUUGAGAACAACUCGUAAUAGAAAACGAAAAAGACCGGAUAAAAACAAAGAAAAAAGAAACACCAAUUGCUCAGAUAUAAAGAAGUACAUAGGGUUUUAAAGAGAUUAUAUUGUUGAGUCUUUUGUUAGUUAUUUUUGUAUGAAAAAUCAAUUUUUUUAAAAAAGUUAAUUAAUUUUGUUGUCUGUUAACUUUUUAAAUAAUAAAAAUAUGAAAAUAAUCUAAAUUAAUUUAAAUGAAAAGUUUUUUCCUAGUAGUUGAUUAAAAUAAAAUUAUUAUUUAAAAUAAAAUUCAUAACAAAUAACAAUUAAUUAGUAGGGUUCGACGUUUAAAAAAACUAGGUAAAUGUAAAUAAGCCCCAAACAAGGUAGUGUUCGAAAUUUUGGACAAUAACCUUCCUGGUCUUGAGCUUUGUUUGAUAAAAUUAAGUUAUAAUUAGUUGAAAAAUUAAUUGAUAGCUGAUGAUUUAUAAUUGAAAAGUUAAUUAAUUGAAAUUAAAGUAUUUAGCAAAUUUAACUUUUAACAAUAUAAAAUAACAUAGAAAAACAUAAUUAUAUUUCUAUCAUUUAUAACUUUUGUGGUGGAAACAAUAAAAAAAAAUACAACAAACCUCUAGAAAAAACAAACCAGAAACCAUGCGGUUCAUUUUUUAUUUUUGUACAUCAUUUACUUUUUUCUAAUUACAAUACAAUCAUAAAUUUAAAAAGUUCUUUAAAAUUUUGGCAAGUUCUAUGUGUAUAAAUAGUAAUUAUAAAUGAAGUAGCAACGUCGAUUUACAAGGAAUGAGGUUUAAAUUGUAAAUGUUCUUAUUUAAAAUUUCACGUAAGAAUCUAAUAUUUUAAUUCAAAAUUGAUCUUGGUUGUGAAAAUAGAAAACGGAGAACGUUCUUGGUUAGUUAAUAUCAACAAUUCAGUUUAUAUAUUUAACUUGAUAAUCAAGCAGACUUAAUUUAAAUAGAGAUAAGAGAAGAACUCAAUGAUAUAUCCUGGUUCACCCAACUCGGGCUACAUUCAGUCAUCACAAUUGUGAGAUUUUCAGUAAGUGUUCAAAACGAAUAACAAUAUUGGUUUACACCACCAGUUCAGAUCAACCUUGAUCUGUUACACACCAAGUCAUUUCCACCUAGAAAGAUUUCAAAACGAUCACCUAUCAAUCUUUAGAUAGGAAUUUACACUUUACCUUUUAACCAUAAAAGAUUUUCUUACAAUCAACUUAAACUAUACUCGACACCUAUAGUCUUUGAGUUUUACAUAAUAAUGAUAAGAGUGUUUGAUAGAAUCUGAAUGAUCUCAACUCGUGUUUGAGAUUUGGUCCUUUACAAGAGAUUCAGUAUAAUAAUAACAGAAUAUUUAAGUAUGAUUAGAACUGACUCUUCUUAAGAAUGAGAGAAUUUCAAGAAUAUGAUUGUGAAUAAUUGAUGAGUUUUCUUAGCUCUUGAAGUUAUGAUUUUCCUUUGAGCUUGACCUUUCUUUUAGAUCAGUCUCCAGAAUGUUCAACAAUCAUUCUCCAUUAGAUUGACAUCAUUCUCCAGUCUGUUUUGCGCGAAUCAAGACAUUGUCUUGAACUGAAUUCAUCAACCAUAUAUCUGAGAAUCAAAGGAUCAUUAAACAAUCAUUCACCAUUUCCAUUACAGAAACAGAACGUAUAAUGUUCAAAGACAUGAACAUUUUUUUAAUUAAUAAAGUUUGGUGUUUGGUCAAAAUCUGACAGAUUACAGUAGAGCACUUUCCAACGACUUCAAAACAGACUAGAGAAUGAUGUCAGUCUACUGGAGAAUGAUUGUUGAACAUUCUGGAGACUGGUUUGAUUAUUUUGGAGACUGAUCUGAUCAUUCAGGAUACAGAUCUGAUCAUUCUAGAGACUGGUCUGAUCACUCUGGAGACAUAUAUGAUCAUUCUGGAGACUGAUGAAAACUUUCUGGAUAUUGAUGUUUAACAUGUUGGAGAUUGAUGUUAACAUGAUGUAGAAUGAUCUUGAUUCAUGUUAACAUGCUGAAGAAUGAUCUUGAUUCAUGUUAACAUACUGUAAAAUGAUCAUUCUUGAACUUUGAGGAUAAUCUUGCUUGAUUCAUCAUAUUCCAUAGCUUUUCUACUUUGUAUUUUGAAUUGAUUAUUUACUAAGAUGAAUCAUUUAUAUUCCUUCAAGAGUACUGAUUAUGUGAUUGUGAAAUCCAUAAGCAAUGAUUGUGAAAUCCAUGAGCAAGUUCUUCUUCAACAGAGGAGAUUAUUUGUUCUUGAAAUUUCAAAAAGUGUGGAGAACGUUCUCCGUUUUCCCGACUUUUGUCAAUAACGUUCUCAGUUUUGUUUGUUCAUUUUUGUUUUCUCUUUAAUGUUAUUUUGCUUGUAAUGCUUGAUACCUAUAUUUGAUUAACACACUUAAAUAAAAUGUUAAAUACCAAAACGUUUAGAAUCAUAAUUAAUUAUAAGUCUUAAUUAAGUUUUAUUUAGUUAUCAUUAAAAUAAUAAUUUCAGAUUUUGUCUCAACAAUAAAACAAUGCAAUUCAUUUAUUGUUUAUAAUUUGACAUAAAAAAUUAAUAUAACUUUAUCGCAAUAAUAAAUUAGAAUAUGAAGAAAUAAUAGUAAAUAUGACAAUUUAUAACUUAAUCAAUUUGUGUUUCGUAAACUUCUUAUAAGUUGAAUAAUAUGAAAGUUUUUUAUUAUUGAAUUAUUUUCUCAAAGAAUUAAAGAAAUUGAGUCAAAUUAUGUUCACCGAGAAGAAGAUAUACGUUAAACAAGUUAUGCGAACUAGUGAAGAGUGAUGGAGUAGUUAUUUUAUAUUACAUAAUGAUAAAAAAAAUAAUAAAAAUAAAAUAAUAAAGUUAUAAAUAGAAAAAAUUGUAAAAAAGUAUAAGUUUAAACGCUACUUAAAUUAGCGUUUCAAAAUAAAAUAUAAGUUGGUGCAAAAAAUUUGUUUACCAAUAAACUUAUAAAUUAAUUUAAAAAACUAUAAACUAACUUAUUGUCGUUAUCAAACAGUAUCGUUAAACUUCGACCACCAAUACACACUCCACAAAUUUGAGUAUUUUCUGGUAAAAAUCAAUAAAAUCAUAAUUAUUUUCAUACUCCAAAACUUUUUUCACAACUUUUUUGAAAAUUCAAAUUUGCUUUUAUUUAAUUUUUUUUUAUAUAAAAAAAUAUAAAAGUAUUCUACCCCCAUCAUUUGUAAAAGAAUUUAAAAAAUUCUACCGAAAAAGAUUCCAAACAUAAUUUUUAUCUGGAACACAAAAGUUUUUUCAAAAAAUAAAUAUGUUUCAUAAAGAAAAUUAAAACAUUUAAUGAUAGCAGAAUCCACUUAAUAGCGGGACCUUAUGUAAGAUUCUUAAUUUGUAAAUGCAAUAGUAAGAAUUAAUGAAGGAUUAGUCGACAAAUUGUAUUGUAUUUUAUUGAUAAUAAGAGAAAUUGAACAAAGGAAACAAGCCUUCCUUUUACUCCUGAGAACUAUUCUCACUCAAAUCAGAUAUAAUAUUCCUUCUACUAAUAGAAUUGUUGUUAUCCUUUCUCCUUAUCAACCUCUCCCCUAUAUAUAGGAUGAGACUCAUGCUUUUCCACCUCACCUCCCAGCUCACCUUUCUUAUAUUUUCUAACAUACACUAUUCAUGUCUUAGGUGCACUACGGGUCCCAAUGGACAUGUCACCAAUUCCCGUUUUGUCCCCAUCAAUACUCCCCCGUUGAGUCAUAGACUUAUCCUCAAGUCUGAGGGAUGAGAAUUGUAUCAGCAUGACAAACUCGUCCUCCUAUUUGGCUUAUUCAACAAGCUUGCCUUUCCAAUGAAUGAUCAAUUGUUUGACGUCCAAUCUCUCUUUAGUGAUAAUGCGAGUGGCAAGCACUACUACUGGUACCCAUGGUGUGGCAUGAUCACCGUCGAGGCCUGGGGCUAACUCAUUCUCAACUUGGUAAUUGCCAAUUGCCUUAUUAAGCAAUGAAACAUGGAACACCGGAUGAAUGCAAGCUGUAACAGGUAGCUGGAGACGAUGCACCAUUGUGCCAACCCGUGUUGUUAUCUCAAAAGGCCCAUAAUAUAUUGGAGAAAGUUUUGGAUAGAUGCGUGAUUCGACAGAAUUCUGCACAAGUGUCCUCAAUUUAAGAAAGAACUAUUCACCAACUUUAAUACUCACAUCUCUUCUUUUCUUGUCAGCUUGGUCCUUCAUGCAUCUACGGGCUCGAUCGAGAUGGUACUUCAAUUGUCUCAAAGCCUCGUGCGAUCAAUAAGUUCCCUUUUUACCGUAAGUCGAACCAAAUUGUUAGGAUUAAUUAGUGAUUGAUCAACAAAUGAUAGUGUAUUUUAUUAAUGGUAAGAGAAAUUGAGCAAAGAAAACAAACCUUCCUUUUACUCCUGAGAGGUAUGCUCACUCAAAUCAGAGAUAAUAUUUCCUCUACUCACAAUUAACCGAAUUGUUGUUAUCCUCUCUCCUUACCAACCUUUCCCCUAUAUACGGGACGAGGCUCAUGCUUUUACCCCUCAUCUGUCAGCUCACCUUUCUUAGAUUUUCUAACAUAUAUUCUCCAUGUCUUAAGUGCACUAUGUGUCCCACUGAACACAUCAUCAAUUCUCUCUUUGUCUGCAUCACCUUUUAAUUACUUGUUCAUAUUUAUCUUUCUAAAAUAAGUGUUUUGAGUAUAAAAGACUUAUAAUUAAAAUGGUAAGAAAUAAAAUUUUAUGAAAACCAACGCAAUGUGAAUACGGAAAACGCAAAUCGAUGUUGUUCUAUGCGUGUACUGUUGAGCAACAUGCGGCCCAUUAGGAUUGACAGAAAAGAGGACAAUCCCAUCGAUGGAUGCUUCUUCAUUUAUUGGGCCUAUGGAAUAUUAUUGGAUCAAAGUCAUCACGACUUUGAUGAAAAUUUUACCCAAUUAAUAAAAAUUUAAUUUUAUGUUUUUUAAAACAAAAAAGUUUAAUUUUGUAUUUUAUGGCACACGUUUGUAUUUCAGAAAAUUUGAGAGAAAAAAUUAAAGUAAAAUAUGUUUAAAAAACUUAAAAAAUAUUUUUUUAAAAACAAUUUGAGUUUUCUAAAAAAAAUGUGUAUUCCGAAAAAUAAAAAAAAAAUUCUGAUAUACAAAAUUUUCUGAAACAUAUUUAUGUUCUAAAAAAUCUUUUUUAAAUUUUUCUGACAUAAAUAUGUUUUAGAAAACUUGAAGAAAAAUAUCGAAACACAAAAUUUAAAAUUUUUAAAACACAUUUGAAUUAAAAUUUAACGAGGUAAAAAAAAUUUAUAAGAUAAAAAAGGGGUAUAAAUAUAAGGUAUAAUUUUCGACUUUGCUUGGUCCGGUUUUACAAACCUUUGCGCUAAAAUAAAAGAAUAUGCAACUUUGAAAAUACAACUAAGAUCUUUUUCCAAUAUCUCUUGACCUCUUUGGAUUUGCUAGCUAGCUAUUUUUUUAUCUUGUUCAUUUGUUGGGGAUCAAAAUAAGGGACAUAUUCAACGGGUCUCAUAGACAUGUUGGGUGUUUGUUUUGGACACGAAUUUAGGUUGACUAAUAUUUCUGUAAAUUUGUUUGUAGCCAUUCAUUGAUCGGAAAAAAAGCGUAUGGAGAUGAGCCCAUGUGGCAUUGCUUAAGUUGCCUUUAAGUGAAUUUAUUCUACUUGUUCGGUAAGGAGGUGUGUGUAUAUAUCUACUUGCCGGGGAUUUAUAAUUUCUUGUCUGCGUUUCUGUUCUUGCUUGUUUUCUUCUUUCUUUUUUUUAAAUCAUAGUUAUAAUUUUUGUAAAAUUACUGUGAUGGUUUAUUAUGAUUUUGAUAAAUUUAUCAUAAUAUUAAAUAUAUUAUUUUUUCUAUUUUUUUAUAGUUAAUUUCUUUGAAUGAUUUCUUUUAUUUUCGGUAUAAUCUCUCUCACUCUAAUAUCAAACUUAAUUCAUAUCUUGUUUGGACGUAAGUGUUUCGGUCCAAAUGCCAAAAAUGACUUAUCAUGGUCCAAAUUUAAAUUAAAUCUUCAGAACUUACAAGUAAAUUAAGUAUGUUUUUGUCUAUGUAAAUAAAAUUCAAAAACAGGUUGUUGUGUCUACUAAAAGCAGCAAUUCAAAAAAAUAAACUAACAUUGAAUUAAUUUAUUGUUUGAAUUUGAAACAUUAAAGAGAGUAGAAAAGUCAAUAAAGUACAGUGAGAUUGAAACAUUGAAUUAAUUUAUUGUUUGUAUAUGUACAGUGAGAUUGAUUCUUGAAAAAUAGAUAUUGAUAAAUAGGGUCCGUUUAGCUUGGACCAAUUGAUUUUUGGUCUCAUACCGUUUCAAUUGAAAAUACCCAUUAGAAAGUUAUCUUUUAUACCCCCAAUUAAUUUUAUACUCUUCAAAUUGUUAAACACUUAAAAUUAUUCUUAAAAAUUUCAUUGAUUAAAUGGUAAAAAAGAAUUACUUCAAAGUCUCACCCUCUCAACCAAAUUUUCAAUACGUAAAACUUUUCCAUUAAAAUUUGGUAUAUAUAUUCACAACCGAAAAUUUCGUAUUUCAAAUUUCCGGUAGUUAUAUUUUCCAUACCAGAAAAUUAAUUUUUUUGAAAUAUCCGGUAGUUACAUUUACCUUACUGGAAAUUUCAAUUUUUUGAAAUAUCUGGUAGUUAUUCUACUUAACCGGAAAUUUAAAAAAUCUGGUAUGUUAUUUAUUUAUUUAUUUGAAAUAGAGAUGGAAAAAACACAACCAGUAUGUAUAGAUUUGACUGAAGCAUUUGCAAUUAAUCAAGUUUUUGAGUCACGAGAAGAUAUCAUAUCAUGUGCAAGAGAUGUCGGCCGACAAAAUCGAGUAGUAGCUAUCAUUAUUCGAUUUGACGUAGAGACCGGAAAGAGAAGAAGGAAGUCAAAAUUAAUUCUUAGUUGUGAUAUAGGUGGAAAAUAUAAGUCAAAUAAAAGUAACACAUGUACUUCAACUAAAAGGCGUGGUUGUCCGUUUAAACUUUGGUCGAGAACAUUGAAAAAUGUUAAAUGAUGGAUUAUUAGUUUAAUGUGUGGACUUCACAACCAUGAGUUAGUGGCUACUUUUGAGAAUAAUGCAUUUAUGAAACACUUAAAAGAAGAAGAUAAGAAACAUGUUAAUGAGCUGACAAAGUAUCACGUUGCACUGAGACACAUCUUGUCAUCUUUGAGAGAUCGAGAUAAGGAGAAUGUGACUAAUAUCUAUCAAAUUUACAAGCAACGAAGCACAUACAAGAAGAAUUUGAAAGGACCUAGAACUGAUAUGCAAUAUUUGUUGAAAUUACUUGAAGCUGAGAAGAAUGCUUGUUGGAGUAGGACUCAUGAAGACUCCAACGUUGUGAGGGACAUAUUUUGGACGCACCCAGAUUCCAUAACUUUGUUGAACAUGUUCCUUCUUGUAUUGAUUAUAGACAGCGCCUACAAAACCAACAAGUAUAGGUUACCAUUGUUUAAAAUUGUUGGUGUAACUUCAACUGGGUUGAUAUUUAAUGUUGCAUUUGCUUAUAUGGAUUCUGAGCAUCGAGAAAACUUUUGUUGGGCAAUGGAGAAGUUAAAAAAGUUGUUUAUUUCAAACACCUCAUUUCCUUAGGUGAUCGUGACUGAUAGAGAACUUGUUUUAAUUAAUGCAAUUGAAGUUGUAUUUCCAUCUCCAACAAAUUUACUUUGUCAACUUCAUAUUAACAAAAAAAUUGGAGCCAAAUGCAAAUAAUAUAUAUUAAAGAAAGAUAUGCAAGAACCCAUUAUCGAGUUGUGGAGGAAAAUUGUUUAUUGUUUUGAAGAGAAGGAGUACGAAGAACUUUUGCAAAUGUUUGACCAAGCAUGUGUCGAUAAUAUUAUUUUCUUUGACUACAUCAGAGACACAUGGUUGAAUCCUCACAAGAAAAGAUUUGUUGAAGCAUGGACCAAUCGAGUAUUGCAUCUAGGAAAUACUACGACUAAUAGGUACGUCAUUAAAACUUUACAUUUUGUUUUAUAUUUAUACGUAUAUAGGAUUAAACAUGCAUGAUAAAAAAUUUAUUGAAACAAUAUCAAAUAUUUUUUAUAUUUGAAUAUUCGAGUUGAGUCUGCUAAUUGGUCAUUGAAGAAUUUUUUGGAAUACAGUAAAAGAGAUUUUUGUAAGGCAUGGAAUGAUAUGAAUGACAUGUUGAAGUUCUAAAUUAUUAAGAUAAAAGGUUCAUUUGAGAUAAGUAAGGGUUGCAAAGAGCAUAUACACAACAAUUCAUUCUAUGAGAAAUUGACUUGGGUUGUAUCCAAGAAAGCCUUAGCUGAUAUUGUUCAUCAAUACAAGAGAGUCACCUAUGUCGAUAAGGACAAAGUUGCGUGUUGUUGUAUACUUAGAAACACUCAUGGAUUAUCUUAUGCAUGUGAAUUGGUAUGAUGCAAGUUGAAAGGUGUUCCAAUUUCAUUAGAUGUUGUUCAUAUACAUUGGAGGAAAUUAACCAUGAAUAGCGAUCAAGAUGAAGAAAAGUUGGCAAAUGAUUCAGAGUUAGACAUUACAUCGGAGAUGAAUAUAAUUUGGAAAACAUGGAAAACACUUAACGUUGCUGGAAUAAGGGCAUUAAAGAGCAAGUUGCGUGAAAUAUCAUAUCCAGAAACAACAUUAAUGUGUGUGCCACUGGAUAAGAUCAAAACAAAAGGUGGUGUAAAGCUCUCUCUAAUAAGACACGCAUCUCAUCUUCAGGACCACCCAUAUGUAAAUCUAAAUUUUUUUGUAUAAGACCACUCAUUUCUUGACACCGUGUACACCUAAUUAAACUAACUACAACUUAUGAAUUAUAAUCUCGACAAUCCAACUUUACAUUAUCACCUAAUUAGACUAACUACAACUUAAGAAUCUUAAUUUUGAUGAUCCAACUAUAGAUUAACACAUGAUUAGACUAACUACGACUUAGGAAUCCUAAUUUCUAUUAUUGAUAGGUUCAACCUAGCUAAUCUAAUUAGACCAGCGAUAAUUUAGGAAUCCUUAUUUCGACUAUCCGACCGUCAAAGUUAACCUAAAUAGACCAACUACAACUUACGAAUCUUAAUUUCGAAGACCCAAAAGUUAAAUCUAACUUAAUUAUCCUAACUACGACUUAGGUAUUAUAAUUUCAACUAUUCAACGAUUCAAUCUAAUCUAAAUAGAUUAACCAUGCGAAACCUAAAUUCAAUUAUCCAACCCAAAUUCUAAACUUAAUAGGGUUAGAGUUGAAUAACUUGCACACUAAGUAGCUUACACAAUACAAGUAAUUUAAGAUUAAAUUGACACUUUGAAUUAUGGAAUGAAUGAACUUAUUAGAGAGGACAUGUUCUUCUUUAUUUAUACUCAACGAUUCAAUCAAUACAAUAUUGCAUUAUGAGCAACUAACGUGCUUACAAUUAGUUUCACAUGUAACUAACUCCUAGUAACCUUCUAACUACUUAACUAAAUUGGAUUAUCUAUAAUAAAUGUAUUAAGUACAAUUUAUGAAUUUUAAUUUCAACGAUACAAUAAUUCAAUCUAACCUAAUUAGUCCGAAUACGACUUAGGAAUCAUAAUUUCGACGAACCAAUUGUACAUUCUAAGCUAAAUAAACUAAAUGUGACUUAUGAAUCCUAAUUUCGAAAAUCUAAUUGUAUAAUCUAACUUAAAUAGACUAACUACGACAUAAGAAUCUUAAUUUCGACGAUUCAAUAGUUCAAUCUAACCUAAAUAUAUUAACUACGACUUACAAAUUAUAAUUUUGAUGAUUCGACCGUCAAUUCUAAUCUAAAUAGACCAACUACGAUUUAAGAAUCUUAAUAUCGAAAAUCCAAUUGUUCGAUCUAACUUAAAUAGACUAACUAAGACUUAAGAAUCCUAAUUUUAAUAAUGUGGCAUACGUUGUAACCGAAGUAGACUCACUACAAUUUACAAAUCCUAAUUAUGACGACUCAAUAAUUUAUUUUUCCGAUUGUCCCUUUAAUUAUUAUUGUAUACACUACUUUUAAAGUAUUGAUUUUUAUUUAAUUAAUUAUUACAUUUUUUAUUAGGUGUAUUAAAAGUUUAAACGAUACUUAUUUUAAAAUAAAAAACAUUUUUUUUUCAACGAAACACCAAUGUUUAAUUAAAAUUUGACUAACCAAACAAAAAAUUAUUGAAAUGCCUUAUAAACAAAACCGAGUCAUUUAACCUUUAUAUUUUUGUGUAACCUUGGCCCAUCAAUUAUUUCUACCAAAAAUAAUUACAACAAAGUUAAUAAUUAGUAGUACAAAUUUCUUAACUUAAUACAUUUAACUUAAUACAUCAUAAUUAUAUGUUGCUAACUAACUUAUUUAUUAUCCGCUAUAAAUUUAUUUACUUUAAAUUAAUCUCAUGUAAUCCGCUAUUUUUGUCAAACAAAGUCUUGACAGCAAUAUUUAUUAACUAAUCCUCAUAGAAAAUCAUAUUAUUAUACUAAUGAUAAUAGAAUAAUAAUAACUAAAAUGUAAACAUGUAUGAUACUUAUCGGAUAUAGCAGGUAGCAUACAAAAUAAAUUGGAAAUAGCAAUAAAUGAAUUAAAAUGCUUAUGAUUUAUACAAGAUAAUUAAUAGGGUUCAAAGUUGAGUGUACCAAGUUCAUACAUAAUAAUACUAAGAGAACAAGAAUUACAUAAACAUAAACUAAAUAACAAUAUCUUAAAUAAACUAAAUAACAAUAACAAAACAAUAACAUAAACAUAAGCAUAAAUAACUGAAUAAACUAUUCACUGAUUUUCUUGUAUGCAGAAUAGGUAAGAACGAAGGCGAUUGCAACCCAAAUGCUUUUAAGUGCAUCUGACUUUGGUUGUUUUCCACCGAGGAACAAGGAGUAGGAGUGGUCGUCAGUGCAAAAGAGACCGGGAGUUUGAAUACAUCGAUGAACACUACAAACUUUGUUUAGCUCCGUCAUCAAUUCUCGGUUGGUGAUGCAGCCUCCUUUUUUACGCACUAUCUCCAAUAGUGUAUCAGUGAAAACACUCCUUGACUUUAUUUGUCCGUUGACCAGUUCCCUAGUCUCCCAAGCAACCUGAUUACGUUGACAGGCUGAAAACAAAGAAACUAAUUGUCUUUGUUGUCGAGUAUCUUCUCCACCGACUAUGUCCAGUAUAUCUGCAAAUCCUCUUCUUCCUUUGCAUGUCAAUUGUUGUUUUAAUCCAUCGAUUAAAUUUCCACUAAAACAACAGUCUAAUAUCAUAGUGAAAUAAACCCCUUCAGCAAGCAUAUUUAAACGAUCUUUCAGCUCUUUGUCUGUAUUGUUACAAGAUAUGUAGAUAAAUUAAAAGUUAAAAGAUAAAAGUAUACGUGAAUUAAGAUUGCAUAUAUACUGAGAUGUUUACGCAAUUUCAGUUCACGUACAUGGCUUACUAUUCAGCAUUCAAUGAUUACGCAAUCUUAGUUCACGUAGGUGUAUGUGAAUUCAGAUUGCAUACACUAUAAGGAUUCAAGUUUCAAACUCCAUUGAUUACGCAAUCUGAGUUCACGUAUAUGUACGUGAAUUCACAUUGCGUAAAGUCUGAGAUUUUUAAUUUUUUUUAAACAUACGUAAACUAAGUUCACGUAACUCUAGAACGUAUGUGAACUGAGUUCACGUAAAAUCCUCAUAUUUACAACAAAAAAAAUAACAUACAUUUUUAUGAUGAUUUUUGUAUGUGAGUUAUGAGGUGUGAUGAAAGUUGAUAAAUGUGAGUUAUGAGAUAAUAAAUGUGUAACAUUGAUGGCAAGGGCAUUUUGGAUAUUUUAAUUUUUUUUAAUUUUGAGGGGUGUGAAUAGCAAUUUGGGGGGUGUUGGUAGCAAUAUUGUUUUUUUUAUAGCCAUUGGAUUGAUCAAACUUAUACAUAUUAUUAUUAUAGUUCAUGUUAUACAUUCUUUCUUUCUUUUCUUUUUGCUCAAAACCACCACCACCAUAGAAGAGCUUUCCCAGCUAUCAAUAACCACACCACCACCACCAUUGAACUCAUCUCGUCUUCCUCUACGAUACCUAUUUUUACCAACAAAGUUUUGAAGUAAAAUAAAUAGCAAAGUAUGAACUUUGUAUGCAUGAAAAAGAAAAGCAAAGUAGGAAAUUGAGAACAAAAUUGAAGAUUUAACAAUAAGUGAACAAUUCUAAAUUAACAUGUGAACAAUGUAGUGGACUUUUCUGUGUAUGUAUUUGCUUUUCCAUUUUUAUUUUUUUUUAUUUAGAUUUUUCAUUGCUCUGUGACCUAUCAGAGUAUUAGUUAAGGAGAGAAAAAUUGCUUUAGAUACUCAAAAUGUGUCAUUGUUGCCACCAAGUUUUUAAGUAAGGAUGAUACAUGUUUUUUUUUUUAAGGAAAGGAUGAUACAUGUUAAGAUCAAUAAGACUUUAAAACCCAUUUACCAACAUUUUUUUUUUUGAAGUUUCAAAGUCUUAAAGAUGUCUUUUAUAGAUGAAGAAAAGAUGGGUUUCAAUGUUGGCGGGGGUGGUGUGGCUAUUGGUGGCCGCAAAAGAUCUCCCAUGGUAGUGCUGGUUUUGAAAAUGAUUAUGUAUAACAUAAACUAUAGUAAUAAAUAUAAAUUUGAUUAAUCCAACGGCUAUAAAAAAACAAGAUCAUAAUGAACCAUUUUAAUAGUGAUUCAUAUUAAAUGUCGUCUAAAAGUUAAGUGUAUACAAAUUGUGUCCAUGCGCCAAAAAUAUCAAGAUUUCUUUUAUAUUUAUAUCUAAAGUAAAUUGACAAGGAAACAAUUUGUAUGAAAAUGUUAUCGUCUACCCACAAUUUUUACCUCCUACUCCUACAAAUCCCCUAAACCUCAAGUUUGUUCUUGACUCUUUAAAAAACAAAAGUUUUGCGAAACCUAGAUCUGGCAUAAGAUUUCGACAAAUUCAAGUUUAUAGUUUAUCAAAGCCUGUAUCUAUUAUAGCAAAUUAAAUUUAACUUCGACGAAAACAUUUUUAUUGCACCAAGUUGAAUUAGAGCUCGCCGAUAAUACGAAAAAAGUAAAUUCGAAUUUACCAAAAGCUAUUUCUAUUUCAACAAAGUAAAAUUUUGAAUUUUCCCCAAAAAAAAUCCCUUUUACUUAUUAGGAUGAAAAGUAAUGUAAGUAAUUAAAAUAAUUUGUGGGGUAGGAAGUAGUAUUGGAGUGGUACGAAGUAAAAUUUUCUAAUCACCUACCACACAUUCACAGGCCCAUUUUACUUUGGUUAAAGCCCAAUAUAAGAGGCUAAACGAAUCAAACUGUUCUCAAACCCUGAUGUUUUAUAAGCACGUACGCAGAGGCACAGAGGCGGCAAGUUGCUUAGGGUUUCACUUCAUCAAAUCCCAUGUCCUUCACUUUGCAAGUUUGCGCAAUUUAUUGGCUCCGUUGUAUAUUCAAUUUUAUUUUAUUUGUUUGAUUUAAUUUCAUGUGUGAGUGAUGAAGAUGAGGGCUGAGGCAUAUAGGGGAGAGCAGUAAUAAAGUAAUUGUGGCUCUGAAAUACCUGUAGGUUUUCUACGGGGUGCCCUGCCAUUCAUGCCCUUCACAUCAAUUCUAUGGCAUCAUAGUACGGAUUUUGUGCUUUGUGGAAUGGAUCUUGUUUGGAUCUGUGACUUUUGUCCUUGGAAUUUUGGCAUUGCCUUUUUUCCUCUGCCAAUUUCACUCUUCCAUCCCAUCCCAUCCCACUUCUUUUCUACACAAAUCCGCCUCCAAACGCCAUUACAUUCCAUUAACUUUAUCACCCUUUUCUCUUAAUUUAUUAAAGCGGUUUUGGUUUGAUUUUUUUUUAGUUUAGCUUCCAUAUCAAUCAAUUACUGAGAUUUUACAUAUGAAAUGCUUUUUUUUUUUUUGUGAUUUGAAAUAUUUUUUUAAUAUUUUUUGGACAUUUAUUUGAGUAGGAUUUACCUUACUUAGCGGCCGUUCUAUUAUUUGAGUAAGAAUAAUUGUAAUUAGAUAGAAGGAUGACUGAUAAGAGGGUCAUAAUAGGGCUUUGGCCAAGAAAUGCUCUUUUGUAUUAGAUUACUUUAAAGAAUUCUAUUGUAGUUAAUUUGGUCAUGUAUCUUAUAAGCAACAACCAACAAUGUCCAAAAAUGAUUUGAGUUUAUACAUGGGCAGUUAAGAAAGUGAUGAUUAAAGCAGGUACUUCUGAUAUAUGGUUUGACACAUCUAGUGUUAGUUCUCUUGGUGCAGCAUACUACAUUGUAGCUAUGCUGUGUCGGGCAUCUUAGACUGUGUCUACAUGAUUAUAUAAAUAAGAGCUGCUAACUGAUUUAUUUUUUCUGUCUUGAAUUAUUUUUAAUAGACUGAUCCAAUAAUUAAGCAUUUAAAAAUACAUCUUGAUGUGGUAGAUACAAGUGUUUUUUACACUUAAGUUGGUUUAUUUAUGCAAUGAUAUAACUUGUGAUAGAACACUUUGGUAAAAAUAUUUAUUGUAAAGUAGUGUCAGUGUUUCAUGCAACUAAAAUAAUCUGAAUGCAUAUCCUUAUCUGUUGAAAAACCUUUUUAUCAUCAUAAUACAUUUUAUAACAUCAUGUAUGAUGCAGAUACACAAUGUAGGACAUCAACAUCUUUAGGUUUUUAAAUGUUAAUUUAGUGGAUGAAUUGUUUCUUCCUAAGCUCUGUAUGCUCCUAACUGAGUUUUCUCAAGCUUUUCAAUCACUGACUGCAUUUGAGAGUUUGGAGUUCUGCAUUUGAAAAACAAACAGGAAAGAAAACUGUAUGUUUUAUUGUGGAUAAAAGCAUAUAAAAUUUGAGUAAAGCAUAUCUCAAUUAAUAGAUCUAAGUUUUGUAAAAAUUAUGUAUACUGUGGAGCUUUUGACAAAGUAAAAUGUCCAUACAAUUAUUACAAAGGAAAAAAGGCUUAAAUGAAACUGUUAGUUAUUGCAGUUACAAAUACUCUAAAAUUUUUAAUUGUACAAAAAGAGCUUGUUGUUCUCUAAAGAUUACUGAAUCAAACUCAUUGCUUUGAGGACCUUACUUUUUGUUCUCUCUGUUUAUAUCACACUAACAGAAAUAAAUAAGUAAACAAAGUGAGAACCAAAUCCAUGUAAAUGAUUUAUUUUUAUUCUGCUAAACAUAAAUGCUCUCAUUCCACGUAAUAAUGUAAUUUGCAAUUUCCAAUUUGCAAAAAUGUAAUAAUGAAAAUCCAUGUAGUUUACCAAAAAAAAUAACUAGUACAUGUAUGAUGCAUGAUAUUUGUCAAAUAUAAUUUGUACAUUGUUCAUUUCUUG